This 68-nucleotide transfer RNA is filed under the name Nesophrosyne sp. 29 GMB-2012. RNAcentral's name for it is "tRNA-Ser". Lineage: Eukaryota; Metazoa; Arthropoda; Insecta; Hemiptera; Cicadellidae. The record is from RNAcentral.
GGUUAUUUAGCUUAUAAUAAUGUAAAGCUUAUAUUUUGAAAAUAUAAGAAAGAGAAAUUUAAUAACCU